This 71-nucleotide transfer RNA is filed under the name Cavia porcellus (domestic guinea pig). It matches the Rfam family "tRNA". From Rfam's summary of the family: Transfer RNA (tRNA) molecules are approximately 80 nucleotides in length. Their secondary structure includes four short double-helical elements and three loops (D, anti-codon, and T loops). The record is from Rfam by way of RNAcentral. Lineage: Eukaryota; Metazoa; Chordata; Mammalia; Rodentia; Caviidae.
GGGGAUUUAGCUCAGUGGCAUAAGCACCUGCCUUGCAAGCAGGCAGUCAUCAGUUCGAUCCCUGGUACCCA